GCGAGUGUCAUAUAACGGCUAUUAUCCUAGCCUUCCAAGCUAGAGACGCGGGUUCGACUCCCGCCACUCGCU
This 72-nucleotide transfer RNA is filed under the name Gemmatimonadota bacterium. RNAcentral's name for it is "tRNA-Gly". It matches the Rfam family "tRNA". From Rfam's summary of the family: Transfer RNA (tRNA) molecules are approximately 80 nucleotides in length. Lineage: Bacteria; Pseudomonadati; Gemmatimonadota. The record is from RNAcentral.